This 460-nucleotide ribosomal RNA is filed under the name uncultured bacterium. RNAcentral's name for it is "partial 16S ribosomal RNA". It matches the Rfam family "Bacterial small subunit ribosomal RNA", at positions 338 to 795 of the family's 1533-position model. The record is from RNAcentral.
CCUACGGGUGGCAGCAGUGAGGAAUAUUGGUCAAUGGACGAGAGUCUGAACCAGCCAAGUAGCGUGAAGGAUGACUGCCCUAUGGGUUGUAAACUUCUUUUAUAUGGGAAUAAAAUGUUCCACGUGUGGGAUUUUGUAUGUACCAUAUGAAUAAGGACCGGCUAACUCCGUGCCAGCAGCCGCGGUAAUACGGAGGAUCCGAGCGUUAUCCGGAUUUAUUGGGUUUAAAGGGAGCGUAGGUGGAUUGUUAAGUCAGUUGUGAAAGUUUGCGGCUCAACCGUAAAAUUGCAGUUGGAACUGGCAGUCUUGAGUACAGUAGAGGUGGGCGGAAUUCGUGGUGUAGCGGUGAAAUGCUUAGAUAUCACGAAGAACUCCGAUUGCGAAGGCAGUUCACUGGACUGCAACUGACACUGAGGCUCGAAAGUGUGGGUAUCAAACAGGAUUAGAUACCCGAGUAGUC